Molecule: long non-coding RNA, 703 nt
Organism: Talpa occidentalis (Iberian mole)
Lineage: Eukaryota; Metazoa; Chordata; Mammalia; Eulipotyphla; Talpidae
Exons: 5
Source: RefSeq, a predicted model, not a curated record
UAAAAGGCACAUGGGGAACUUUUCUCUUUUAGUGUUAACAUGCAAAUCUAGUAAAGUGUAUUUAGAUUUCUGUAAAAUCGGCUCUGUGUGCAAAUUAGAUGGUUGAUUUGCCAGGAGGAAGAGGAACGUUGUUAUUAACUACUUGCAAAUUCUACCAUAAACAGAUGAAAUUAGAUGAUACAGCAUCCUAUAAGCCUCAUUGAAGAAUUUUCCUUUUAUCUCAAGAGCAGCAGUACAUCACUAAAGGAAUUUAGCAAAAUGAAGUGACAUGAUUAGACUUAUAUUCUGGCAACAAAUUGGAGAACAGGAACAGCAAGGUUCUCAGAGUUCAGCCAGCUGGCCUUGUGUUUCCAGUUUUACUCAAGACUUCCAAAAAUUAAAGGCCAUCUCGGCAACGGGAAAGAAAUGCAAGAAGGUCUUUAUCGGUCAGAUGCCCUACAGGUAGUUCUGGGCUUCAAGGAGGAAAGAUUCCAUCAUGUCCACCAAUUCCACGCUGUUGAAAACUGGCAACAAGACGUGCUUGCUGACCCUUCCUAUCCCAGAGCCACAGUCCAAGGCACAGUCUGUUCCAGCUCUGCCAGGACCCUGCAGAAAGGCACCUUGUAGAAUAUUUCAAGUACAGAUAACUAUCCAGCAUCCUGGACACUCCAAUUACCUCAUUAAAAUCAAAUUUAUUUAGGUCAAAUUCAUGCAAUAAAAUGUA